This 460-nucleotide ribosomal RNA is filed under the name uncultured bacterium. RNAcentral describes it as "partial 16S ribosomal RNA". It matches the Rfam family "Bacterial small subunit ribosomal RNA", at positions 338 to 795 of the family's 1533-position model. The record is from RNAcentral.
CCUACGGGAUGCAGCAGUGAGGAAUAUUGGUCAAUGGACGCAAGUCUGAACCAGCCAUGCCGCGUGCAGGAUGACGGCUCUAUGAGUUGUAAACUGCUUUUGUACGAGGGUAAACCCCGAUACGUGUAUCGGGUUGAAAGUAUCGUACGAAUAAGGAUCGGCUAACUCCGUGCCAGCAGCCGCGGUAAUACGGAGGAUCCGAGCGUUAUCCGGAUUUAUUGGGUUUAAAGGGUGCGUAGGCGGUUUGAUAAGUUAGAGGUGAAAUGUCGGGGCUCAACCCCGAAACUGCCUCUAAUACUGUCGGACUAGAGAAUAGUUGCGGUAGGCGGAAUGUAUGGUGUAGCGGUGAAAUGCUUAGAGAUCAUACAGAACACCGAUUGCGAAGGCAGCUUACCAAACUAUAUCUGACGUUGAGGCACGAAAGCGUGGGUAGCAAACAGGAUUAGAUACCCUUGUAGUC